CUUGAAAAGUGCGUUUUCAAAUUUGCAAUUUGACGUGUCAUCACUACGAAGCU
This 53-nucleotide transfer RNA is filed under the name Paniegekko madjo. Its description in RNAcentral is "tRNA-Cys". Lineage: Eukaryota; Metazoa; Chordata; Lepidosauria; Squamata; Diplodactylidae. The record is from RNAcentral.